AGCCGAGCUCUGGGGUGUCUCCACCAUGGCCUGGACUCCUCUCUGGCUCACCCUCCUCAGUCUUUGCACAGGUUCUGUGGUUUCUUCUGAGCUGACUCAGGACCCUGCAGUGUCUGUGACUUUGGGACAGACAGUCAGGAUCACCUGCCAGGGAGACAGCCUCAGAAGCUAUUAUGCGAGCUGGUACCAGCAGAAGCCAGGCCAGGCCCCUGUGCUGGUCAUCUAUGGUAACAACAACCGGCCCUCAGGGAUCCCAGAGCGAUUCUCUGGCUCCAGCUCAGGAAACACAGGUUCCUUGACCAUCACUGGCUCAGGUGGAAGAUGAGGCUGACUAUUACUGUAACUCCUGGGACAGCAAUGGUACCCAUCCCACAGUGACACAGACAGACGGGGAAGUGAGACAGAAACCCCUUCACUAUCUGUGUCACCUUCUCUCUCCAGUCCCAGCAGGACUGUGAGCAGAGCCAUAAGCACGGCUGGCCCACAUGGAUCUGAGACCUCCAGGCUGCCCUUCCCUCAAUCCCUCCAGGUAGGCUCUGCAG
Rhinopithecus roxellana (golden snub-nosed monkey) is the source of this 542-nucleotide non-coding RNA. NCBI's taxonomy places the organism in Eukaryota, Metazoa, Chordata, Mammalia, Primates, Cercopithecidae. The record is from the annotation of a RefSeq genome assembly.